RNAcentral lists this ribosomal RNA (863 nucleotides) under Sticta hypochroa. Its description in RNAcentral is "LSU rRNA". It matches the Rfam family "Eukaryotic large subunit ribosomal RNA", at positions 69 to 947 of the family's 3401-position model. Lineage: Eukaryota; Fungi; Ascomycota; Lecanoromycetes; Peltigerales; Lobariaceae. RNAcentral also lists the same sequence under 1 other name. The record is from RNAcentral.
CAGGGAUUGCCUCAGUAACGGCGAGUGAAGCGGCAACAGCUCAAAUUUGAAAUCUGGCCCCUUGGGGGUCCGAGUUGUAAUUUGUAGAGGGUGUUUCGGGCGCGAUGCCGGUCUAAGUUCCUUGGAACAGGACGUCGUAGAGGGUGAGAAUCCCGUAUGCGACCGGCGAUCAAGCCUGUGUGAAGCCCCUUCGACGAGUCGAGUUGUUUGGGAAUGCAGCUCAAAAUGGGUGGUAAAUUUCAUCUAAAGCUAAAUAUUGGCCAGAGACCGAUAGCGGACAAGUAGAGUGAUCGAAAGAUGAAAAGCACUUUGGAAAGAGAGUCAAACAGUACGUGAAAUUGUUGAAAGGGAAGCGCUUGCAAUCAGACCGGUCCGGAGGCGAUCAGCCGCUGCUCGUCAGCGGUGCACUCGCCUGCGAUCCGGCCAGCAUCGGUUCGGGCGGCGGGAUAAAAGUCCCGGGAAUGUAGCUUCUUUCGGGGAGUCUUAUAGCCCGGGUCGCAAUGCCGCCCGCCCGGACCGAGGACCGCGCUUCGGCUAGGAUGCUGGCGUAAUGGUUGCAAGCGACCCGUCUUGAAACACGGACCAAGGAGUCUAACAUCUAUGCGAGUGUUUGGGUGUCAAACCCAGGCGCGGAAUGAAAGUGAACGGAGGUGGGAACCCGUCAGACGGCGCACCAUCGACCGAUCCAGAUGUCUUCGGAUGGAUUUGAGUAUGAGCAUAGCUGUUGGGACCCGAAAGAUGGUGAACUAUGCCCGGAUAGGGUGAAGCCAGAGGAAACUCUGGUGGAGGCUCGCAGCGGUUCUGACGUGCAAAUCGAUCGUCAAAUCUAGGCAUAGGGGCGAAAGACCAAUCGAACCAUCUAG